RNAcentral lists this ribosomal RNA (253 nucleotides) under uncultured bacterium. Its description in RNAcentral is "partial 16S ribosomal RNA". It matches the Rfam family "Bacterial small subunit ribosomal RNA", at positions 524 to 776 of the family's 1533-position model. The record is from RNAcentral.
UACGGAGGAGGCAAGCGUUAUCCGGAAUUAUUGGGCGUAAAGCGUCCGCAGGUGGCUAUUCAAGUCUGCGGUCAAAGACUGGGGCUUAACCCUGGAAAGGCCGUGGAAACUGAAGAGCUAGAGUGCAGUAGGGGUAGAGGGAAUUCCCGGUGUAGCGGUGAAAUGCGUAGAGCUCGGGAAGAACAUCGGUGGCGAAAGCGCUCUGCUGGACCAUAACUGACACUCAGGGACGAAAGCUAGGGGAGCGAAUGGG